UUUCCGUAGGUGAACCUGCAGAAGGAUCAUUAUUGUAUAACCGAGGUGCGAGGGCUGUCGCUGACGCGAAAGGUCGUGCACGCCCGACUGCCUUCACACACAUCCAUCUCACCCCUAUGUGCACCACCGCGUGGGUCCCCCUCUGUCUUGAUCGGUGGGGGGCUUACGUUUUCACACAAACUUUGUAUGCAGUGUAGAAUGUAUAUUUUGUUAUUACGAUCACCCACUCAAUACAACUUUCAACAACGGAUCUCUUGGCUCUC
RNAcentral lists this unclassified non-coding RNA (263 nucleotides) under plant metagenome. RNAcentral describes it as "partial contains small subunit ribosomal RNA, internal transcribed spacer 1, and 5.8S ribosomal RNA". The record is from RNAcentral.